Long non-coding RNA from Pipra filicauda (Wire-tailed manakin), 779 nucleotides. RefSeq lists it as uncharacterized. The transcript has 3 exons. Lineage: Eukaryota; Metazoa; Chordata; Aves; Passeriformes; Pipridae. The record is from RefSeq and is a predicted model, not a curated record.
GCCAGGAUCUCCCCUAAGGAGCCUGGAACUCCCCGUAGAGCCGGGAUCUCCCUUGUGGAGCCGGGAUCUCCCCUGAGGAGCCUGGAACUCCCCGUGGAGCCGGGAUCUCCCCUGAGGAGCCUGGAAUUCCCCUGUAGAGCCGGGAUUUCCUUGUGGAGCCAGGAUCUCCUCUGAGGAGCCGGACUCUCCUCUGAGGAGCCAGGAUCUCCCCCGUGGAACCGGGAUCUCCCUGUGGAGCAGCACUGAGGGGAUGAUAGUGGCGCAGGUGGCGUGCCACUGACGUUGAAUUUGUGCCAUUGAAUGUAACCAGACUCCAGGGUUGAAAACGAGGGGAAAGCAAUUAGGCAGGUUUUACAGCCAGUUGUCUCCUAAUGUUCUGGAAUGCCCUGCUGCAGACAUCCACAGGAGACUUCUCAGCACACACAGUCUCGCAGGUCACCCUGCCAGCAAUGACAUGGAGGUAACUUAUCACUAUGAGAUGGAUCAUCAUCUUCAUGGCUUGAUUUCACCCAUUCCUCUCAUCAGGUAAAGGCAGGAAUAACUUUGUCCCGGGGCUUGCAGUACUGCAACCCGUUCGUGAGAACCUGGUCACUGUGGGGAUGGAGAGAGACCCCAGGCAACAGAACAGUGCCCUGUUCUCACUUCUGCAUUUUCCUUUGAUAAAGAGGGCCCUCAACACUGGUGGCUUCAGGCUUCUGAUCUGCCCCUGUCAUGCCAAAUUGCAAUGAAUAUAAUGCAAAAUUAUCAAUCAAAGGUAAAAUAAACACCAACAAACUGCA